This 287-nucleotide long non-coding RNA is filed under the name Solanum tuberosum (potato). RNAcentral describes it as "long non-coding RNA (STUB_LNC003554)". The record is from RNAcentral. Lineage: Eukaryota; Viridiplantae; Streptophyta; Magnoliopsida; Solanales; Solanaceae.
UUCUUCGUGAAUCUUAUUAGUGUUAUGUCUGUAGUAUAUUUCACAUGUUACGGUAAGUUGAGUUGAGCAUGAUUCAGGUGGCUUACAUGUUGUUUCAACCUUAGAAAAUCAUAUUUAUUAAAUGGGUUGAUUUUAAGUUAAAUGCAAUUUGUUCUACAUUUUCUUGCUAAUUUUAGUAGAUCAUUGGUUGUAUUAUGUCUUUAUUAGCUAGCAUGACUUGAUGUUUGGAUGUAGUGGACUCAAUCAUGUUUGAUUUGCUCAGUUUCAACUUUGUCCAUUUGUUUAUC